UACGUAGGUGGCAAGCGUUGUCCGGAUUUAUUGGGUUUAAAGGGUGCGUAGGCGGCUUUGUAAGUCAGUGGUGAAAUAUGGCAGCUCAACUGUCAGGGUGCCAUUGAUACUGCGGAGCUUGAGUACAGAUGAGGUAGGCGGAAUUGACGGUGUAGCGGUGAAAUGCUUAGAUAUCGUCAAGAACACCGAUAGCGAAGGCAGCCUACUGGGCUGUAACUGACGCUGAGGCACGAAAGUGUGGGGAUCAAACAGG
RNAcentral lists this ribosomal RNA (253 nucleotides) under uncultured bacterium. RNAcentral's name for it is "partial 16S ribosomal RNA". It matches the Rfam family "Bacterial small subunit ribosomal RNA", at positions 524 to 776 of the family's 1533-position model. The record is from RNAcentral.